RNAcentral lists this ribosomal RNA (254 nucleotides) under uncultured bacterium. Its description in RNAcentral is "partial 16S ribosomal RNA". It matches the Rfam family "Bacterial small subunit ribosomal RNA", at positions 524 to 776 of the family's 1533-position model. The record is from RNAcentral.
UACAGAGGGGGCAAGCGUUGUUCGGAAUUACUGGGCGUAAAGGGCGCGUAGGCGGCCCGCUAAGUCGAACGUGAAAUCCCCGAGCUCAACUCGGGAACUGCGUCCGAUACUGGCGGGCUUGAAUCCGGGAGAGGGAUGCGGAAUUCCAGGUGUAGCGGUGAAAUGCGUAGAUAUCGAGAGGAACACCUGCGGCGAAGGCGGGUUGCUGGGCCGACACUGACGCUGACAGCGCGAAAGCUAGGGGAGCGAACGGG